AUAUGUGAUCGUCUCUCGCAUAUCAAUAAGCGGAGGAAAAGAAACUAACAAGGAUUCCCCUAGUAACGGCGAGUGAAGCGGGAAGAGCUCAAAUUUGAAAUCUUAAAGGGUUUCCCUUUACGAAUUGUAGUUUAAAGAAGUGUUUUCUGUUGAGGUUUUGGUAAAAGUUCUUUGGAAUAGGACAUCAUAGAGGGUGAGAAUCCCGUAUUUGACCUUUACUUUCCAACUUUGUGAUACACUUUCAAAGAGUCGGAUUGUUUGGGAAUGCAGUCCAAAAUGGGUGGUAAAUUUCAUCUAAAGCUAAAUAUUGGCGAGAGACCGAUAGCGAACAAGUACCGUGAGGGAAAGAUGAAAAGAACUUUGAAAAGAGAGUUAAACAGUACGUGAAAUUGUCAAAAGGGAAGCGUUUGACACCAGUGUUGUUUUUCUGAAAAUCAAUUAAAGAACUGUUUAUGCUAAGUUGUUUAGACUUUAUCAGCUAACUGUUUAGUUUUGAGCUUUUCUUUAAUGCACUUUUCAGUUAACAAGUCAACAUCAAUUUCUUUUGCUGUAAAAAAGCUUGAGGAAGGUGGCUUGAGAUUCGUCUUAAGUGUUUAUAGCCUCUUGCCUAUGCAGUCGGAGAGAUUGAGGUCUGCAGCGUAGAUCCUUCGGGGCUAAAUGCAUUUGUGCUAAGUUAUAGCAUUUUAUAGACAACUUGUUGACUAUGAUUUGUCUUGUAGCUUACUCGCUUAUGUUAUUUUACCUACGCUUAGGAUGUUGACACACGCGCGUGCUCG
RNAcentral lists this ribosomal RNA (776 nucleotides) under uncultured Neocallimastigales. Its description in RNAcentral is "partial large subunit ribosomal RNA". It matches the Rfam family "Eukaryotic large subunit ribosomal RNA", at positions 24 to 643 of the family's 3401-position model. The record is from RNAcentral. Lineage: Eukaryota; Fungi; Neocallimastigomycota; Neocallimastigomycetes; Neocallimastigales.